AAAUCAAUUUUUUGGAGAAAAAAUCUCAAAAAUAUUUCAAAUUCCAAUGGCCAUUUCUAAAGCUCUCUUUGCUUCAUUACUUCUCUCCUUGCUCCUUCUCGAGCAAGUCCAAUCUAUUCAGACUGAUCAAGUGAGCAGCAAUGCUAUUUCUGAAGGCGCUGAUUCCUACAAGAAAAUUGACUGUGGGGGAGCUUGUGCAGCAAGGUGCCGAUUAUCAUCAAGGCCAAGAUUGUGUCAUAGGGCAUGUGGAACUUGUUGUGCUAGAUGCAACUGUGUUCCUCCUGGUACUUCUGGCAACACUGAGACUUGCCCUUGCUAUGCCAGUUUGACUACUCAUGGCAACAAACGUAAAUGCCCUUAAAUUUCUUCUAAAAAUAUCGUAUAUCGUGUGAUUACCACGGAUAUGUUAUUAUUGUAGUGUAUUAUUUUGUCAUAUAUUGUGUCAAUAAUCAAAAUCCAGUAAAAUAUCUUUAGCGUGGGUAAUUUAUUUUUUGGGGUGUUGUCUUUGUAAUUUUGAGGAAAUUUUAUUUGUGUGUUGAUUAGUACAUCUGGUGUAAUAUUUAUUCUGGUUUGCAUUGUAUUGUAUAAUAAGAUGAGGAAUAAAUGAAGUUUGAGUAUAUUAUUUUAUAUGUGUUUUAUUCUUGGAUGUUAAAUUUUAU
This 659-nucleotide unclassified non-coding RNA is filed under the name Hevea brasiliensis (rubber tree). The record is from RNAcentral. Lineage: Eukaryota; Viridiplantae; Streptophyta; Magnoliopsida; Malpighiales; Euphorbiaceae.